CACGUAGGGUGCGAGCGUUGUCCGGAAUUAUUGGGCGUAAAGAGCUCGUAGGCGGUGUGUCGCGUCGGCCGUGAAAACCUGCAGCUUAACUGUGGCUUGCGGUCGAUACGGGCAUCACUGGAGUUCGGCAGGGGAGACUGGAAUUCCUGGUGUAGCGGUGAAAUGCGCAGAUAUCAGGAGGAACACCGAUGGCGAAGGCAGGUCUCGUGGGCAUUAACUGACGCUGAGGAGCGAAAGCAUGGGGAGCGAACAGG
This 254-nucleotide ribosomal RNA is filed under the name uncultured bacterium. RNAcentral describes it as "partial 16S ribosomal RNA". It matches the Rfam family "Bacterial small subunit ribosomal RNA", at positions 524 to 776 of the family's 1533-position model. The record is from RNAcentral.